AUAUAGUAAGGGAAAACAUAUGAUAUUACUUUACUUAUAGUGUUGUCUAAUUCUGGUGCCAGAAGACUCGGUAAUACCAGUAACGCGAACGUUAGUCAUCUUUAUCAGGCGUAAAGGGUUUGUAGGCAGCUUUUAAAAAAAAGGUUUUAACUAAAAAAAAUAAAAAAUAGUUAAGUCUCUAAUUUGAGAGCUAGAAUCAAAUAGAAGUUAAAAAGUAUAAUACUUAGAGAAGGGUUGAUAUUCUUAGAACCUAAGGGGAAUACUAAAGGUGUAAACAACUAACUAUAAAUGAUUGACGCUGAGACACGAAGGUGAGGAUAGGAAAUAGGAUUAGAUACCCCGGUACCCCUCUCUGUAAACGAUGAAUGGUAGUUAUUAGUGUAUUACUGGUAACGAUGCUAACGCGUUAACCAUUCCGCCUUGGGAGUACGAUUGCAAAGUUGAAAACAAAAAAAUUAGUCGGUCUCGGAGCAAACGGAGUGAAG
Molecule: ribosomal RNA, 485 nt
Filed under: Fomitopsis subtropica
Lineage: Eukaryota; Fungi; Basidiomycota; Agaricomycetes; Polyporales; Fomitopsidaceae
Description: partial small subunit ribosomal RNA
Rfam family: Bacterial small subunit ribosomal RNA
Source: RNAcentral